AGAGUUUGAUCCUGGCUCAGCCUGAACGCUGGCGGCGUGGCUAAGACAUGCAAGUCGUACGGAUGUAGCAAUACAUCAGUGGCGGACGGGUGAGUAAUGAAUCGCUAAUGUACCCCAGAGUCUGGGAUAGCUGCCCGAAAGGGCAGGUAAUACCAGAUGAUAUAUUCGGUUGGCAUCAACUGAAUCUCAAAGGAGCAAUACGCUCUGGGAGCAGGCGAUUUCGUAUCAGCUUGUUGGUGAGGUAACGGCUCACCAAGGCGACGACGCGUAGCUGGUCUGAGAGGACGGCCAGCCACAUUGGGACUGAGACACUGCCCAGACUCCUACGGGGGGCUGCAGUAACGAAUCUUCCGCAAUGCACGCAAGUGUGACGGAGCGACGCCGCGUGUGGGACGAAGUCCUUCGGGAUGUAAACCACUGUCAGGGGUUAGAAAGUUCUGAUCAACCCCAGAGGAAGAGACGGCUAACUCUGUGCCAGCAGCCGCGGUAAUUC
Molecule: ribosomal RNA, 493 nt
Filed under: uncultured bacterium
Lineage: Bacteria
Description: bacterial SSU rRNA
Rfam family: Bacterial small subunit ribosomal RNA
Source: RNAcentral